Molecule: long non-coding RNA, 1552 nt
Organism: Ictalurus punctatus (channel catfish)
Lineage: Eukaryota; Metazoa; Chordata; Actinopteri; Siluriformes; Ictaluridae
Exons: 3
Source: RefSeq, a predicted model, not a curated record
ACUCUUGUGUGCAGGAAAUCCUUCCCACCUCACUCACACUCACAUUCUCUUUUCAGUAAAACUGAAAUAGACACAGGAUGUUCUGCAGCUCUUCUGACCAUAACCCAAAGAAAGAAAGAAGGAAAGAAAGAAAGAAGGAAAGAAAGCGACUCUUUUCAGCUCAGUUUUAUUUACAUUUAGCUUUUUGUCACAAAUCAACAAAGCAGCUUUACAGAAAUAAACCUUAAUUGUUCCCCGGAUGAGGAAGAAUGUUGUUUUGCUGUCACAGAAAUGAGGUUUAAUCAAAAACAUACAAAAGAAAGGAAAAAAACCAAAACCCAGAGUGUGUUUCUUUAAAAAUAUCUGUAUCUGAUGUAAGGAAUAAAAGUGUUUGUGGUGCUGGGGUGAUAUAAUAACUCCUGUACUGUUGGUUUAAUGUUUAUUAUGAAUUAUAUUACACACAGACUGACUUUACAGAAACACCGUGGUGAACAGGAGCUCAGGCACAACACACACUUUACUGAGACUUUAGAGUUAUGAUUAGCUUUACAGCUAGUUUUAUCCGUAAAUAUUGGAAAGAGCGACUAUAAUUCUCUAUAUUUACAAUAUAAACAAAUCAGUAAGUUGGUCUCGCGCUCUGCAGCUGUGUUGCAGUUGUGGUGAGCAGUGACGUCUUUCGCGGCCCAACCAAUCAGAGGCUGUUGCUGAGGCAGAACAGAGAACAGGACGUUCCGUAGUGUGUGUGUGUGUGUGUGUGUGUGUGUGUAGCGGGGGAGAAACAUCGUGAGAGACCUCGUUAAAGAUAAAAACAAAGAUAAAAUCAGAGAAAACCAAAACAGUCCCUGAGAUAAUCUCUCUUUAUGUAACUGUGACAGCGAUAUAAUCUUUUAUUUGAACAAAAUGUUGAGGCAAAGAGACAGUCAUUAAACCCGAUAACACCCGCUGAGGGAGGUGAAGCUAAUGCUAAUGAAUAAACACAAUGUUUCUCUCGUUUCAGAAGUUCGCUUUCGCUCUCAGAUCUUAUACAUCUUACAAAAUCUUUCAUUUAAUUUCAGAUAAGGUCACUGUUUGUGCGUGUAAAAGCGCUGUGUCUCCUCCUGCUGGUCAGCCCUGAAGCUCCAGAACCUCACAGCUGAGAACCGGAUGUAGUAGAGAACCUAACCAUAUCCUCCAUCCCCUCUCCUGUCUUCUCCAUCUCACCUGCCCUGCAGUCUACUCUUCCUCCACCUUACACCAUCCCCCCAUCCCACCCACCCACACCCCCACACACACACACACACACACACACACACUCACUCACUCACUCAUAAACACAAACACACACACACACACAUACAAUCAGGCUCAAGGCCAGGAACUUGAGACAUGAGAGGUGAGGGUUUUACCAAUGAGCCACCAAGUCCUACAUACAGCUCAUACUUUUUUUUGGGUGGUGGUGGUGUUGUCUUCUAAAGUAAAACCCAGCUGCUUCAGUGAACGCCUGAACCUUCUUCUGUCAAUCACUAUGACAUCACAGACUCAGACUCCACCCACUUGGACUACCGCCAUCUCCUCGCAUUAGUGUGUGUGUAGU